This is a non-coding RNA of Caenorhabditis elegans, 21 nucleotides long. NCBI's taxonomy places the organism in Eukaryota, Metazoa, Nematoda, Chromadorea, Rhabditida, Rhabditidae. The record is from Ensembl.
UCUCGUCAAGCGAUGAAUCAA